UCAUCACCCCAUUGUUUACUUACCAUGUUGCUUCCACUGGACAGGUUGACCCGUCAAAAGGUUGACCCUCUGGCUUCGUGCUGGGGAGUGCCGGUGGAUAACCCACACAAAAAACUUGAACCAAAACCUAAAUAAGCAAUUUUGUCUGAAUAAGUUUAUAUAAACCUUUAUAAAACUUUCAACAACGGAUCUCUAGGCUCUUGCAUCGAUGAAGAACGCAGUGAAAUGCGAUACGUAAUGUGAAUUGCAGAAUCUCGUGAAUCAUUGAAUCUUUGAACGCACAUUGCGCCUUAUGGUAUUCCAUAAGGCAUGCCUGUCUGAGCGUCAGCUCCCCCCCACUCAAGCUCUUUUGCUUGGAUUAUUUUGGGCGAGCAGCCGUAAAAGGUUGCUGUCCACAAAUUCAUAGGCAGUAUGGUCUUUUCCAAGCUGAACGUAAUAAUUAAAAAAAAUCACGUUUACUUUGAGAGAUAUUGUACUUGCCCUUAACCCACAAACUUUUUUAUGGGUGACCUCAGAUCAGGUAGGGAUACCCGCUGAACUUAAGCAUAUCAAUAAGCGGAGGAAAAGAAACCAACAGGGAUUGCCUCAGUAACGGCGAGUGAAGCGGCAAAAGCUCAGAUUUGAAAUCUGACGUCAUAUUGGCGUCCGAGUUGUAAUCUGUAGAGGAGUAUUCGAGUGUGGCGCUGGCUUAAGUUCCUUGGAACGGGACGUCAUAGAGGGUGAGAACCCCGUUAACGGCCUUUGUCUUAUGCUCAUGUGAAUCUCCUUCAACGAGUCGAGUUGUUUGGGAAUGCAGCUCUAAAUGGGUGGUAAAUUCCAUCUAAAGCUAAAUACUGGCAAGAGACCGAUAGCGCAC
RNAcentral lists this ribosomal RNA (856 nucleotides) under uncultured fungus. RNAcentral's name for it is "eukaryotic LSU rRNA". The stretch from base 507 to 856 matches the Rfam family "Eukaryotic large subunit ribosomal RNA", at positions 1 to 345 of the family's 3401-position model. Lineage: Eukaryota; Fungi. The record is from RNAcentral.